Oncorhynchus gorbuscha (pink salmon) is the source of this 5433-nucleotide RNA transcript. It is a transcript of the gene named protein unc-45 homolog B-like, with no coding region annotated. The record is from RefSeq and is a predicted model, not a curated record. Lineage: Eukaryota; Metazoa; Chordata; Actinopteri; Salmoniformes; Salmonidae. The transcript has 21 exons.
GAUGAGUAUUAAGGAGAGGUGGGGUUGCACUAAUACCAAAAAAAUAGAACGCAAAACAAUCAGGGAGUGAAGCUCAACACUGGACACUCAAGUGAAAAUAAAAGGAGAAGAGAAGAACACACAAUCCUGAAAGAUGGGAGAGAUGGCAGAUCCAAUCCAGUUAAAAGAUGAGGGAAACAAGCAUUUCCAAGCCGGUGAGGUGGACAAGGCCAUUGAGUGCUACACAAAAGCCACCAAGUUGUGCAAAGACAAAAAGGUGCUCGCUGUCAUCUACAGGAACAGAUCAGCCUGCUUCCUGAAAAAGGAAAGCUACACCAAUGCAGCCUCCGAUGCCUCCAAAGCCAUUGACGUGGAUGCAGCAGACGUCAAAGCCCUGUUCCGGCGGUGCCAGGCUCUGGAGAAGCUGGGCAAGCUGGACAUGGCCUUCAAAGACGUCCAGAGGUGUUCCACCAUCGAGCCCAAAAAUAAGACCUUCCUGGAGACCCUCAGGAGGCUGGGGGCGGAGAUCCAAGCCAAGCUGAAGACAACCUUCUCCACAGACUCACGGGUCAAGAACAUGUUUGACAUUCUGCUUGAUGAGGAGAUGGACAAGGACAAGAAGGAAAAGGCUGCUAACAACCUGGUGGUUCUGGCCAGAGAAGAUGCUGGCGCUGAGAGAAUCUUCCAGAACAACGGAGUGCCUCUGCUGUUGGAUAUGCUUGAGACCGGAAAAGUAGAGAUGGUCCUGGCUGCUAUCCGUACCUUCGCGGGAAUGUGCACUGGACACAAAGCACGGACCAUGGCCAUUAUCCACCUGGUGGGCAUUGACAAGCUGUGCAGCAUCAUGGCAGUCGACAAUGAGGACAUCGCCUUGGCAACUUCCGACCUGUUCCAGUGCAUCAAUGACUCCCUUACCGGAGGAGACCAGAGGAUUUAUGGGAAGGAGGAAGCCCUGGUUUUGGAUGCCAGCAAAGACUUGAAGAGCAUCCUGAUGGCCCUGCUGGAGAUGGUUGCCAGUAAGAAGGUUUCAGGACACGGCAGAGACCAGGCCCUGAACCUGCUGUGCAGGAACGUGCCUCGCAAGGACAAGAAAGACCAUGACCACUCCAAGAGCCUCUUCACCAUCGACCAUGGUCUGAAGAAGAUCCUGAAGGUGUGUGGCCAGAUACCUGACCUCCCAGACCAGCUGCCCAUGACGGAGAACACUCAGCUCAUCGCCAGCGUGUUGCUUGACAAGCUCUGGGACGACCUGCGCUGCGACCCCGAGAGAGACCACUACAGGGAAGUCUGUGACGAGUACAUCAAAGGCAAGUUUGACCCCAACGACAUGGACAGGAACAUCCACGCCAUCAACGCUCUGUCAGGCCUGCUGCAGGGGCCAUUUGAGGUUGGCAACCAGCUGGUGGGUCGCCAGGGCAUCAUGGAGAUGAUGGUGGCGCUGUGCGGCUCUGAGCGUGAGGUGGACCAGAUGGUCGCCGUGGAAGCGCUGAUCCACUCCUCGACGAAGAUGAGCCGCGCCUCCUUCAUUAUCACCAACGGCGUGUCGCUGCUCAAAGACAUCUACAAGAAGACCAAGAACGAGAAGAUCAAGAUCCGUGCGCUGGUGGGUCUGUGUAAGCUGGGCUCAGCAGGUGGAGAUGACUAUAGUAUGAGGCAGUUUGCUGAGGGCUCCACUGAGAAACUGGCCAAGCAGUGCAGGAAGUGGCUGUGUAACUCUGCCAUGGACACGAAGACCAGGAAGUGGGCUAUAGAAGGUCUGGCCUACCUGACCCAAGACGCUGAUGUAAAGGAUGACUUUGUUGAGGACGAGCCUGCUAUGAAAGCCAUGUUUGAACUGGCCAAGUCUAAAGAUAAGACCAUCCUAUAUGCUGUGGCCUGUACCCUGGUCAACUGCACCAACAGCUAUGAGAAGAAAGAUAUCAUGCCUGAGCUGGUUCAGCUGGCCAAGUUCUCCAAGCAGCAUGUCCCAGAGCAGCACCCCAAGGACAAGAAGGAUUUCAUCCAGAAGAGAGUGAAGAGGAUGCUAAAGGGAGGGGUCAUCUCAGCUCUCACUGUCAUGGUGAAAGCUGACAACCUUCUCCUGACUGACCAGACCAAAGAGAUGCUGGCAAGGGUGUUCCUUGCCUUGGCAGAUGAUGCCAAAGACCGUGGCACGAUUUGCGCCCAUGGAGGGGGCAAGGCUCUGAUCCCAUUGGCUCUGGAGGGAUCAGCUAUAGGGAAAAUAAGGGCCUCCCACGCCCUGGCUAAGAUCGCUGCUGUGUCCAACCCAGAGAUUGCCUUCCCAGGAGAGAGGAUCUAUGAGGUGGUGCGUCCUCUGGUCAGCCUGUUGCACCCUGAGAGAGAUGGGGUGCAGAACUACGAGGCACUUCUGAGUCUCACCAACUUGGCUGGUCUCAACGACAAACUGAGAGUGAAGAUCCUGAAAGAGAAAGCUCUCCCUGAGAUUGAGCAGUACAUGUUUGAAGACCAUGAUCAUAUCAGACAGGCAGCCACAGAGUGCAUGUGCAACCUGGUGACGUGCAAAGAGGUACAGGAUCGGUACCUGGAGGAUGGGAAUGAUAGGCUGAAGCUGCUGGUGCUGAUGUGUGCUGAGGACGAUGAAAAGCUCCAGAGAGCUGCAGCCGGAGCACUGGCCAUGCUCACUGCCGCCCAGAAGAAACUGUGCACCAAGAUGACCCUGGUGACUUUGCAGUGGAUGGAGAUCCUUCAGAGGCUCAUUCUCCAUGACCAGCCCCAGAUCCAGCACAGAGGCCUGGUGAUUGUGUACAACAUACUGAACUCGGACGACAACGAGCUGGCCAAGAAGCUGAUCGAGAGCGAGAUCCUGGAGAUCCUGACAGUGAUUGGCAAAGCAAUGGACAACCCCAAGAGGCAGCUUGUGAUCGAUGUGGCACGCACCUGCCUGGUCAAGGCCAUGGACCUCGGCCUCAUUAAGCCAUUCACAACCCCUUCUUAAAGCAGUGUUUCUUAAGCUUUUUAUAGUACUACGGACUGGCUUGCAAUGGACCUACUCCCUUAAAGGCGCAACCCAAUCAACCAGAAACAAAUCACACAGAAAUAAGAACAUGUAUGACAGUUCCAUUUUAGUCCAAUGAGUGUGUAUAUUUGGUGGGUACACUUGCAAACGCCCAUACCCCUCACUGCCCACAGUCCUCCCAAAGUGUCAGGCCAACACUUGUUACAGUACAUUGGACUUACAGUUUGUGCCUUUUAAUGAAAACUGCAACGUGUGAGCUAAUUACAGUCUGCCUAACUUGCUGAUCAGAUACACCCCACAGAUUGAGGUCCAGAGACUGAAGAUUGAGAAACUCUGUGUUGAGUGUGGGCCAAUGGACAGGGAGGCCAGGAGAUGGGACUGAUGGUGCACCUGAACAGCCACCUAUCAUGAAAUCAGAGACAGUACAAAUUAAUCUCUUUAGAUAUUUUAUUUAGAAUUUUCAGAAAGAAAACACCACGUGAACGUUUAACCAUUUUUUAGAAAAGACAACAAUGCCUGUCUUGGCAUUAAAGCUCUGUCCUGCAGGGUAGCUCACUGCCAGAGCCAAGCGUCAUAUGAAUGUUAUAAUAAAACUAUAGGCAGUGAGCAUGAUACGCUAUAUCAAAUCCCCCCCCCCCCGAUGGAAGAAACAGAACCCACAGGUGGAGGCUGGGCUGGUGGUGGGACAUCAGAAACAGAACCCACAGGUGGAGGCUGGGCUGGUGGUGGGACAUCAGAAACAGAACCCACAGGUGGAGGCUGGGCUGGUGGUGGGACAUCAGAAACAGAACCCACAGGUGGAGGCUGGGCUGGUGGUGGGAUAUCAGAAACAGAACCCACAGGUGGAGGCUGGGCUGGUGGUGCGACAUCAGAAACAGAACCCACAGAUGGAGGCUGGGCUGGUGGUGGGACAUCAGAAACAGAACCCACAGGUGGAGGCUGGGCUGGUGGUGGGACAUCAGAAACAGAACCCACGGGUGGAGGCUGGGCUGGUGGUAAAAACCCUGAGUGUAAUAUUUUCAAUUAUCCACCAUCUUGGUAUACAGCUUAUGUCAGAAUUGACCUCCAGGUGACCCCUACCCCCACAAAAAUAAGACUUCCAUCUUGAUGACUUCUAGAAAAAGAAGGCAAAUAGCCUCACACAGAUGUUGAUGUGUGUGUGUGUAUUGUUGCAUGUGCAGUAAGCCCACAAGCUGAUUCUUUCCUCCUUUCUUGGCAGAGAUCUCAGAAAUGGUUCAUUUGUAAACCCCAAAUUGAUCACGUAGAAUGUACACUGAGUGUACAAAACAUUAGGAACACAGACUGACCAGGUGAAAGCUAUGGUCCUGUAUUGAUGUAUUUUGAUAAAUCCACUUAAAUCAGUUUAGAUGAAGUGGAGGAGAUAGGUUAAAGAAGGAUCUUUAAGCCUUGAGACAUGGAUUGUGUAUGUGUGCCAUCCAGAGGGUGAAUGGGCAAGACAAAAUAUUUAAGUGCCUUUGAACUGGGUAUGGUAGUAGGUGCCAGGCGCACCGGUUUGAGUCAAGAAGUGCAAUGUUGUUAGGCUUUUCACGCUCAACAGUUUCCGAUGUGUAUCAAGUAUGAUCCACCACCUUAAAGGCAUCCAGCCAACUUGACACAACUGUGGGAAGCAUUAGUCAACAUCCCUGUGGAAUGCUUUUGACACCUUUUAGAGUCUAUCCCCCAACGAAUUGAGGCUGCUCUGAGGGCAAAAGGGAGUGCAACUCAAUAUCUUAAUGUUUUGUACACUCUGUGUAUAUGCUAUAUCUCACAUCAGGCCUUCCGAAUAAAGUAAUGUUUGCUGUGACACAUAAAACAUUUUCCGUAGGUCUGUAUUAUUCCGCAAAGUUCUAUCUAGCGCUGCUGUGAGGGGGAGGAGCGCAUAACCUUGUGAUGUAGCGCCAAGGAUUGUCUAUUAUAUUGACAAGAUAUACACGUGACCACUCUAACAAAGGAAAUACAUGUCCUCAAAGAUGGCAGGCAGGCGGGAGGAGGCGAGAUCAGGUGGGACCAUUCUAGCCAAUGAGAGUGCAGAUACGAUUGAAAACAACAGGCCAGCGAGAUAGAGGACUCAUCUUUGUAUCUGUUCCAUUAUAGCGUUUGUGACAGCAUUGGCAGCACCAUUGAGCCUAACUCCAUUUUAAAGUAGAUGCAUGCCAGCAAAGCCACUACACAACACAAAACCGAACAAUACAUUAACUGCACUAUAAUUGUGACAAAUGGUGCCCACAAACUAUUAGGGCCUACAUAAAACUGUCCCAACAGAAAAGCUUUCUUUUCAGCACCAUGGAGUGAAACCUUACCACCGCUACACCUGGCUAUCAGUAGAUACUUAUCUGGCAGCGAAGCAGUUAAUUCAGCCUCAUCUACUGCCUUUUAAAAACAUAGUUGGUAUUUUUUCAUUAAAUUGAACUUUUAUUUAACUAGGCAAGUCAGUUAAGAAAACAUUAUUAUUUACAAUGACAGCCUACACCAGCCAA